This 300-nucleotide ribosomal RNA is filed under the name uncultured Pyrobaculum sp. RNAcentral describes it as "bacterial SSU rRNA". It matches the Rfam family "Bacterial small subunit ribosomal RNA", at positions 496 to 795 of the family's 1533-position model. The record is from RNAcentral. Lineage: Archaea; Thermoproteati; Thermoproteota; Thermoprotei; Thermoproteales; Thermoproteaceae.
GCGAUCUGCUGGCGAGAGGCUGGGUGAAAGCGGAGGUGGCGAGGGUGGUGCGGCAUGACUGGGCGUAAAGAGCUGGGUGGCGGUUUUUCACGUCGUCUGUGAAAUCCCUCGGCUUAACCGGGGGCGUGCAGGCGAUACGGGCAGACUUGAGUACUACAGGGGAGACUGGAAUUCCUGGUGUAGCGGUGAAAUGCGCAGAUAUCAGGAGGAACACCGGUGGCGAAGGCGGGUCUCUGGGUAGUAACUGACGCUGAGGAGCGAAAGCAUGGGUAGCGAACAGGAUUAGAUACCCCUGUAGUC